GAUGAACGCUGGCGGCGUGCCUAAUACAUGCAAGUCGAGCGAACAGACGAGGAGCUUGCUCCUCUGACGUUAGCGGCGGACGGGUGAGUAACACGUGGAUAACCUACCUAUAAGACUGGGAUAACUUCGGGAAACCGGAGCUAAUACCGGAUAAAAUAUUGAACCGCAUGGUUCAAUAGUGAAAGACGGUUUUGCUGUCACUUAUAGAUGGAUCCGCGCCGCAUUAGCUAGUUGGUAAGGUAACGGCUUACCAAGGCAACGAUGCGUAGCCGAUCUGAGAGGGUGAUCGGCCACACUGGAACUGAGACACGGUCCAGACUCCUACGGGAGGCAGCAGUAGGGAAUCUUCCGAAAUGGGCGAAAGCCUGACGGAGCAGCGCCGCGUGAGUGAUGAAGGUCUUCGGAUCGUAAAACUCUGUUAUUAGAGAAAAACAAAUGUGUAAGUAACUAUGCACGUCUUGACGGUACCUAAUCAGAGAGCCACGGCUAACUACG
RNAcentral lists this ribosomal RNA (495 nucleotides) under uncultured bacterium. RNAcentral's name for it is "partial 16S ribosomal RNA". It matches the Rfam family "Bacterial small subunit ribosomal RNA", at positions 28 to 505 of the family's 1533-position model. The record is from RNAcentral.